This 440-nucleotide ribosomal RNA is filed under the name uncultured bacterium. RNAcentral's name for it is "partial 16S ribosomal RNA". It matches the Rfam family "Bacterial small subunit ribosomal RNA", at positions 338 to 795 of the family's 1533-position model. The record is from RNAcentral.
CCUACGGGUGGCAGCAGUGGGGGAUAUUGCACAAUGGGGGAAACCCUGAUGCAGCGACGCCGCGUGUGGGAAGACGGUCCUCUGGAUUGUAAACCACUGUCCCCAGGGACGAAGAUGACGGUACCUGGGGAGGAAGCUCCGGCUAAAUACGUGCCAGCAGCCGCGGUAAUACGUAGAGAGCGAGCGUUGUCCGGAAUUACUGGGUGGAAAGGGAGCGGAGGCGGGACUGCAAGUUGGGUGUCAAAUCUACCGGCUCAACCGGUAGCCGCACUCCAAACUGCAGUUCUUGAGUGAAGUAGAGGCAGGCGGAAUUCCUAGUGUAGCGGUGAAAUGCGUAGAUAUUAGGAGGAACACCAGUGGCGAAGGCGGCCUGCUGGGCUUUUACUGACGCUGAGGCUCGAAAGUGUGGGGAGCAAACAGGAUUAGAUACCCGAGUAGUC